GACGAACGCUGGCGGCGUGCUUAACACAUGCAAGUCGAACGGAAAGGCCCUGCUUUUGUGGGGUUCUCGAGUGGCGAACGGGUGAGUAACACGUGAGUAACCUGCCCUUGACUUUGGGAUAACUUCAGGAAACUGGGGCUAAUACCGGAUAGGAGCUCCUGCUGCAUGGUGGGGGUUGGAAAGUUUCGGCGGUUGGGGAUGGACUCGCGGCUUAUCAGCUUGUUGGUGGAGUAGUGGCUUACCAAGGCUUUGACGGGUAGCCGGCCUGAGAGGGUGACCGGCGACCAUGGGACUGCGGGAGGGACCAGACGCGUACGGUAGGCAGUAGUCGGGAAUAUUGCACAGUGAGGGGAAGCGUGUGACGACGACGCUGGGUUCGUGAUGAACGCCUUUGGGUUAAGAACCGCUUUCGCCUGUGACGAAGCGUGAGUGACGGUAAUGGGUAAAGAAGCACCGGCUAACUACGUG
RNAcentral lists this ribosomal RNA (468 nucleotides) under uncultured bacterium. RNAcentral describes it as "partial 16S ribosomal RNA". It matches the Rfam family "Bacterial small subunit ribosomal RNA", at positions 28 to 507 of the family's 1533-position model. The record is from RNAcentral.